Equus quagga is the source of this 1039-nucleotide non-coding RNA. The record is from the annotation of a RefSeq genome assembly. NCBI's taxonomy places the organism in Eukaryota, Metazoa, Chordata, Mammalia, Perissodactyla, Equidae.
CACUUUCCUGCCUUCUCCUUGAGGACACAGCCUGGCAGACAGGAUGUCACUGCUGGAAGCAUUCACCUUCUUGUCCUUCUGGGCUGUUGGACUUGGGUUAACAAAAGUGGAGCAGUCCCAGAUAUCCAUUUCCGCAGAAGUAAAGAAAAGUAUCAACAUACAUUGCAAGAUAACGAGCUCAGAUUUUGCAGGGGAAUACAUUCACUGGUACCGGCAGAAACCUAACGAGGCUUUGGAGCAUCUGAUUACUGUGAGCUCGACAAAAUCCCCAGCUCGAGCUAACCUAGGUGGGAAGAAAAAUAAACUUGAAGCAAGGAAGGAUUCUCAAACUUCCACUGCAAUCCUUACGGUAAAUUUCAUAGAAAAAGAAGAUGUGGCCAUUUACUACUGUGCAGGAUGGCAGUGUGAUGGCUCAGGUUGGAUCAAGAAAUUUGGAGAAGGGACUAAGCUCAUCGUGAUUCCCUCUGAUAUACAUCUUCCUGUAGACAUUUUCCCCAAACCAAUUGUUUUUCUUCCUUCCAUUGCUGAGAUAAACCUCCAUAAGACUGGGACAUAUUUUUGUCUUCUUGAUAAAUUCUUCCCUGAUGUUAUCAAGGUAUAUUGGAAAGAAAAGAAUGGCAAUACAAUUCUGGUUUCCCAGCAGGGAAAUACCAUGAAGACUAAUGACAUGUAUAUGAAAUUCAGCUGGCUGACUGUAACCGAAAAUUCAAUGGACAAAGAACACAAAUGUAUCAUCAAACAUGAGAACAAUAAAGGAGGGGUUGACCAAGAGAUUCUUCUUCCUUCAGUGAUUCAAGUUGUCACUGCUUCUGAUUCUACAACAGCUUCCCCAACAGAGGGAAAGAAGAAGAGAAAAAGGGAAGUCCCUGCUAUCAAUUCCACAAAAGCUUGUGUGAAAGAUGAAAUAGACCCCCUGCAGCUGCAGCUCACCAACACGUCUGCGUAUUAUAUCUACCUCCUCCUCCUCGUCAAGAGCACGGUCUACUCUGCCAUCAUGGCCCUCUGUCUGUUUAGCAGAACAGCAGUCUUUGGCGACUGA